Molecule: ribosomal RNA, 746 nt
Filed under: uncultured bacterium
Lineage: Bacteria
Description: bacterial SSU rRNA
Rfam family: Bacterial small subunit ribosomal RNA
Source: RNAcentral
AUUGAACGCUGGCGGCAGGCUUAACACAUGCAAGUCGAACGAUGAAACCUAGCUUGCUAGGUGGAUUAGUGGCGGACGGGUGAGUACAACUUAGGAAUCUACUUUUAGCGGGGGAUAGUCGGGGAAACUCGAAUUAAUACCGCAUACACCUUACGAGGGAAAGGGGGCUUUUAGCUCUCACUAAAAGAUGAGCCUAAGCAAGAUUAGCUAGUUGGUGGGGUAAAAGCCUACCAAGGCGACGAUCUUUAGCUGGUCUGAGAGGAUGAUCAGCCACACUGGGACUGAGACACGGCCCAGACUCCUACGGGAGGCAGCAGUGGGGAAUAUUGGACAAUGGGGGCAACCCUGAUCCAGCCAUGCCGCGUGUGUGAAGAAGGCCUUUUGGUUGUAAAGCACUUUAAGCAGUGAGGAAAAGCUAUAUGUUAAUACCAUAUAGCCCUGACGUUAACUGCAGAAUAAGCACCGGCUAACUCUGUGCCAGCAGCCGCGGUAAUACAGAGGGUGCAAGCGUUAAUCGGAAUUACUGGGCGUAAAGAGAACGUAGGUGGUCAACUAAGUCAGAUGUGAAAUCCCUGAGCUCAACUUAGGAACUGCAUCUGAUACUGAUUGACUAGAGUAGGUGAGAGGAGAGUAGAAUUCCAGGUGUAGCGGUGAAAUGCGUAGAUAUCUGGAGGAAUACCGAUGGCGAAGGCAGCUCUCUGGCAUCAUACUGACACUGAGGUUCGAAAGCGUGGGUAGCAAACGGG